RNAcentral lists this microRNA precursor (100 nucleotides) under Macacine gammaherpesvirus 4 (Rhesus lymphocryptovirus). RNAcentral's name for it is "microRNA rlcv-mir-rL1 precursor (rlcv-mir-rL1-22)". Its record names the gene rlcv-mir-rL1-22. Lineage: Duplodnaviria; Heunggongvirae; Peploviricota; Herviviricetes; Herpesvirales; Orthoherpesviridae. The record is from miRBase by way of RNAcentral.
AUAGUUAUCUAGGCUUGAUAUUCGUGGGGGGAAACGGUGGAUUUUGGUGUAGUUAUUAUUCACCGUUUCAUCCCCACGAUUAUUCGGUUUCAAUUGCUCU